Armigeres subalbatus is the source of this 382-nucleotide long non-coding RNA. RefSeq lists it as uncharacterized. The record is from RefSeq and is a predicted model, not a curated record. NCBI's taxonomy places the organism in Eukaryota, Metazoa, Arthropoda, Insecta, Diptera, Culicidae. The transcript is spliced from 3 exons.
CAAUCGUUCGCACCGGAGUCAUUCGUUCCUCAUUCGUUCCUUCAGUGUGUGCUUUCGCUUGAAAUAUCUCGGAAAUAUCCAAUAUUUCACUCCACAUAUGUUUUAACGUUGUGUUUUACGCAAACCAAAUCGACUUCAGGCAAAGUUCAGCGGAAAACACCGUUUAAAAAGGCACCGGCCACAAACAUAGGAAGAAGCAUCAGGGACUAUAGGUGGAAGUGGACAAUAAUUAUUCCGUGGAAGCUUCUUAUCACGAACCAAUUAAAUUGGUGGUUUAACUUUGCAGGCUCAAUUGUAAAAGACGUUGGGCGGCACCUACGUGAGAGCUCGCGAGAGUAUUUCGUCGUUGGAAAAGAAAAACAAAACGUGCAGUCUAGACGCU